Molecule: ribosomal RNA, 239 nt
Filed under: uncultured Bacteroidota bacterium
Lineage: Bacteria; Pseudomonadati; Bacteroidota
Description: uncultured Bacteroidetes bacterium partial 16S ribosomal RNA
Rfam family: Bacterial small subunit ribosomal RNA
Source: RNAcentral
GUAAUACGGAGGGUGCAAGCGUUAUCCGGAUUCACUGGGUUUAAAGGGUGCGUAGGCGGGCUGUUAAGUCAGUGGUGAAAUCUUUGGGCUUAACCCGAAAACUGCCAUUGAUACUAUCAGUCUUGAAUAUUGUGGAGGUCUGCGGAAUAUGUCAUGUAGCGGUGAAAUGCUUAGAUAUGACAUAGAACACCAAUUGCGAAGGCAGCAGGCUACGCAUAUAUUGACGCUGAGGCACGAAA